RNAcentral lists this ribosomal RNA (506 nucleotides) under uncultured bacterium. RNAcentral's name for it is "partial 16S ribosomal RNA". It matches the Rfam family "Bacterial small subunit ribosomal RNA", at positions 30 to 523 of the family's 1533-position model. The record is from RNAcentral.
AUUGAACGCUGGCGGUAUGCUUAACACAUGCAAGUCGAACGGCAGCAUGGUCUAGCUUGCUAGACUGAUGGCGAGUGGCGGACGGGUGAGUAACGCGUAGGAAUAUGCCUUGAAGAGUGGGACAACUUGGGGAAACGCAAGCUAAUACCGCAUGUACUCGAGAGAGUAAAGCUGGGGACCUUUAGGUAUGGCGCUUUAAGAUUAGACUGCGUCCGAUUAGCUAGUUGGUAGGGUAAAGGCCUACCAAGGCGACGAUCGGUAGCUGGUCUGGGAGGAUGAUCAGCCACACUGGAACUGAGAGACGGUCCAGACUCCUACGGGAGGCAGCAGUGGGGAAUAUUGGACAAUGGGGGGAACCCUGAUCCAGCAAUGCCGCGUGUGUGAAGAAGGCCUGAGGGUUGUAAAGCACUUUCAGUGGGGAGGAGGUUUGGAAGGUUAAGAGCUAUUCAAAUGGACGUUACCCACAGAAGAAGCACCGGCUAACUCCGUGCCAGCCGCCGCAGUAA